This 963-nucleotide ribosomal RNA is filed under the name Alexandrium catenella. RNAcentral describes it as "partial large subunit ribosomal RNA". It matches the Rfam family "Eukaryotic large subunit ribosomal RNA", at positions 124 to 1044 of the family's 3401-position model. Lineage: Eukaryota; Dinophyceae; Gonyaulacales; Pyrocystaceae. The record is from RNAcentral.
GAGCUAUUGGCUUUGAAUUGUAUUGUGGAAAUGUAUUACCAACAGAGGUGCAGGUGCCAGCCUAUUGAAAUAAAGCGUCAAUGAGGGUGAGAAUCCUGUUUGUCAUGUGCAGCCCUUUGUGCACGGUGUAUAUUUGCUGAGUCACACUCCUUGGCAUUGGAAUGCAAAGUGGGUGGUAAGUUUCAUGUAAAGGUAAACAUGCAAUUGAGACUGAUAGCACACAAGUACCAUGAGGGAAAUAUGAAAAGGACUUUGAAAAGAGAAUUAAAUGAGUUUGUAUUUGCUGAACACAAAGUAAACAGACUUGAUUUGCUUGGUGGGAGUGUUGCACUUGCUUGACAAGAGCUUUGGGCUGUGGGUGUAAUGAUUCUUUCUUUGCAUGCCAGUUUCUAUUUGUACAUCUGAUUACCUUUGCACAUGAAUGAUAAGUCUCCUGUGGGGGGUGGAUUGCAUGUGCAUGUAAUGAUUUGUGUUUUGAUAAAUGUGUCUGGUGUAUGUGUGUGUUCCUGUGCUUGGGGAUGCUUCCUUCCUUGGACUUACAAGCCCUGACACACACAUGCUGGCAAAAUGCUUCUGCUUGACCCGUCUUGAAACACGGACCAAGGAGUCUAACAGAUGUGCAAAGUUUGAAGGUGGUAUACCUUUGUGUGCAAUGAAAGUGUCAGCUGGGAUAUGUGCACCAGCACCCAAUUAAUUAGCGGACAGAGGUUUGAGUUGGAGCAUAUCUAUUAGGACCCGAAAGAUGGUGAACUAUGCCUGAACAGAAUGAAUUCAGAGGAAACUCUGAUGGAGGUUCGUAUCGAUACUGACGUGCAAAUCGUUCGUCAUAUUUGGGUAUAGGGGCGAAAGACUAAUCGAAACCAUCUAGUAGCUGGUUCCCUCCGAAGUUUCCCUCAGGAUAGCUGGAGUUGCUCAGUUUUAUCAGGUAAAGCGAAUGAUUAGAGGAAUUGGGGACAGGUUUGU